Molecule: long non-coding RNA, 6108 nt
Filed under: Oreochromis niloticus (Nile tilapia)
Lineage: Eukaryota; Metazoa; Chordata; Actinopteri; Cichliformes; Cichlidae
Description: lncRNA (ENSONIG00000007983.2)
Source: RNAcentral
GUAUUUGAACAGUUUCUGAGGACUCUGUAUGACGUGCCUCCCUACUUCAAGACAGAGCCAGUGCGUAGCCAGCUCCAUCUGGAACGUAACAGGCUGGUGCUGACCUGCAUGGCGGAGGGAAGCUGGCCACUAGAGUUUAAAUGGAUCCACAAUAGCACAGAAUUAACACGCUUUUCACUGGAGUACAGGUACCUAAUCCCUUCACUGGACCGCUCCCAUGCUGGCUUUUACCGCUGCAUUGUGAGAAAUCGGGUGGGAGCCCUUCUGCAGAGGCGCACAGAAGUACAAGUGGCCUUUAUGGGCAGUUUUGAGGAAGGCGAACGCACCCAGUCAGUCUCUCAGGGAGAGGGUGCUGUGAUUCCAGCGCCACGCAUCCGCAGCUUCCCUCAGCCACAAGUCACCUGGUUCAGAGAUGGGCGCAAGAUUCCACCCAGCAGCCGCAUUGCCAUUACUUUGGACAACACGCUGGUUAUCUUGUCUACUGUGGCACCGGAUGCCGGACGCUACUAUGUGCAAGCUGUAAAUGACAAGAAUGGAGAGAACAAGACCAGCCAGCCCAUCACCUUGUCAGUAGAGAAUGUUGGCGGUCCAGCAGAUCCCAUUGCCCCCACCAUUAUCAUCCCUCCCAGGAACACCAGUGUGGUCACAGGCACAUCAGAGGUCACGAUGGAGUGUGUGGCCAAUGCCAGACCUCUUAUCAAGCUGAGUAUCUCAUGGCGUAAGAACGGCGUGUUGGUGAACAGCGGUUUGAGUGACUUCAACCGCAGACUGACCAUCCUGAGUCCUGUGGUGAGCGACGCCGGCUACUACGAGUGUGAGGCCAUUCUCCGCAGCAGCAGCGUGCCUUCAGUCAGUGCUGGGGCUUAUCUGCAUGUCCUUGAGCCACCACAGUUUAUAAAGGAACCGGAGAAACACAUCACAGCUGAGAUGGAGAAGGUGGUUGACAUUCCCUGUCAGGCACGGGGAGUGCCCCAGCCAGACAUUGUGUGGUACAAGGAUGCUUUGCCUAUCGACCCAGUGAGGACACCCAGGUACAGGGUGUUGGUGGGCGGCAGCCUCCAGGUCAACGGCCUACUGCCUGAUGACACCGGCAUGUUCCAGUGCUUUGCCCGAAAUUCAGCCGGAGAAGUUCAGACCAACACUUACCUGGCUGUUACAAGCAUUGCCCCGAAUAUCACAGCCGGACCCUCUGAUAGCACUGUGAUCGACGGGAUGUCAGUCAUUCUGCACUGUGAGACCUCUGGAGCUCCAAGGCCAGCUAUCACCUGGCAAAAAGGUGAGCGCGUGUUAGCCAGCGGUUCAGUCCAGCUGCCCCGGUUCACCCUGCUUGAAUCGGGCAGCUUGCUCAUCUCGCCUUCACACAUCUCUGAUGCCGGGACCUACACUUGCAUGGCAAGCAACUCCAGGGGCAUUGACGAGGCAUCUGCUGACCUUGUUGUUUGGGCUCGCACUCGGAUUACCACCCCCCCACAGGACCAGAGCGUUAUCAAAGGAACUAAAGCCAUUAUGAACUGUGGAGUCACACACGACCCAAGUGUGACAUCUUUGUAUUCCAGGCAUGUCUGGGAAAAAGAGGGCUCAGUCAUAAACGUUCAGUCCAUCCCCCGCAUGCGGCUAGAUGCAGAUGGUACGCUUCACAUCUCCCAAACCUGGUCAGGUGACAUAGGCACCUACACAUGCCGAGUGACCUCUGUUGGAGGCAACGACUCCCGCAGCGCGCACCUCCGUGUCAGACAGUUGCCCCAUGCCCCAGAGAACCCUACGGCCGUGCUGAGCAAAUCUGAAAAAAGAGCCAUCGACCUGGCUUGGGCCAAGCCUUUUGAUGGCAACAGUCCCCUCAUACGCUAUAUCCUGGAGGUUUCUGAGAACAAUGCUCCCUGGGCCAUCCUGCUGGCCAAUAUUGAACCUGAGUCCACAGCAGUGACGGUCAACGGCUUGAUCCCAGCUCGCUCCUAUCAGUUCCGCCUCUGUGCUGUUAAUGAUGUGGGGAAGGGACAGUUUAGCAAGGAGACAGACCGGGUCUCUCUCCCAGAGGAGCCCCCCAGUGCUCCUCCUCAAAAUGUCAUUGCUAGUGGUCGAACCAACCAAUCUAUCAUGAUCCAGUGGCAGCCUCCGCCGGAAAGCCACCAGAACGGCAUCCUCAGAGGCUACAUCGUUCGGUACCGUCUCACUGGGCUGCCUGUGGACAACCAAAUCAAGAACAUUUCCAGCCCGGAUGUGACCACGCUGCUGCUGGAAGACCUCAUCAUCUGGACCAAUUAUGAGAUUGAGGUGGCUGCCUAUAAUGGGGCAGGUUUGGGCACUUUCAGCCAUAAGGUUACUGAGUGGACCCUGCAAGGAGUGCCCACCAUAGCUCCAGGCAACGUGCAGGCCGAGGCGGUCAACUCAACAACUAUCCGUUUUACGUGGACAGCCCCUAACCCCCAGUUCAUCAACGGCAUUAACCAGGGCUACAAGUUGCUGGCCUGGGAACCUGGCAAGGAUGACGAAGUUGCCAUGGUAACAGUACGACCGAACUUCCAGGACAGCGUCCAUGUGGGAUAUGUGACAGGUCUGAAGAAGUUCACUGAGUAUUACACCUCUGUGCUGUGCUUCACGACACCCGGAGACGGCCCCCGCAGCCCGCCUAAAGCAUUGAGGACGCAUGAGGACACCCCCGGUGCAGUGGGUCAUCUGAGUUUCACCGAGAUUUUGGACACCUCACUCAAAGUCAGCUGGAGUGAGCCCAGCGAGAAGAAUGGAGUUCUCACAGGUUACCGCAUUUCUUGGGAGGAGUACAACCGAACAAACACCAGAGUCACCCACUACCUGCCCAAUGUCACCUUAGAGUACAGGGUCACUGGGCUCACUGCUCUCACCACCUACACUAUUGAAGUGGCAGGAAUGACCUCCAAGGGCCAGGGCAUGCUGUCCUCCUCCACCAUUUCCUCCGGUGUCCCACCAGAGCUUCCUGGCCCUCCUACCAACAUGGCAAUUUCCAAUAUUGGCCCACGCUCCAUCAAUCUGCAGUUCAAACCUGGCUAUGAUGGCAAAACUUCUAUUUCCCGCUGGCUAGUGGAGGCCCAGGUGGGUGCGGUAGGAGAAAAUGAGGAUUGGUUGAUGGUCCACCAGGUGUUCAACGAACCUGAGGCUCGCUCCUUAGAGGUGCCAGGUCUCAACCCAUAUACCUUUUACAGGUUUCGCAUGCGUCAGGUGAACAUAGUGGGUACCAGUCCUCCCAGCCAGCCCUCCAGAAAAAUUCAGACCCUACCAGCUCCUCCCGACAUGGCCCCUGCCAACGUCACCCUGCGCACCGCUAGCGAAACAAGCCUCUGGUUACGAUGGAUGCCUUUGCCUGAAUGGGAAUAUAAUGGGAAUGCAGAGCAGGUGGGCUACAGGGUUCAGUACUCCCGUGCAGGCUCACAGGGCCAUCCACUCACCCAUGUUAUUACCGACCGUCUGGAGAGAGAGUUUACUAUUGAGGACCUGGAGGAGUGGACAGAAUAUGAGGUCAGGGUCCAGGCUGUCAACGGCAUUGGAGUGGGACCCUGGAGCCAACCGGUCAGAGGCAGGACACGGGAGUCUGGUGAGUUCCACGCUGUGGAAAAACACUGUUUUGUUUGGAAAAGUAAUGCACAAACUUCAAUAGAUUAUCAGGUGGUGUAUAAAGAAAAAGACUCGGACAGUCCAGUCCACUUCUGGACAGUAGAGGGAAAUGCCACUCACAGUGUCCAGCUGACUGGUCUGGGGAAAUAUGUGCUCUAUGAGAUCCAAGUUCUGGCAUUCACACGGAUUGGAGAUGGACGGCCGAGCUCUCCACCUAUUCUUGAAAGGACCUUGGAUGAUGUCCCAGGACCUCCAGUGGGUAUCCUGUUCCCUGAAGUCCGAACCACCUCAGUCCGCCUUAUUUGGCAGUCCCCUGCCCAGCCGAAUGGCAUUAUACUUGCCUACCAGAUCACGUACCACCUCAACUCCACCAAUAGCAACACAGCCACAGUGGAUGUGCUGAACCCCAGCGCCCGCCAGUACACGGUGACUAACCUCAAGCCAGAAACUGUCUAUGUGUUUCGCAUCACGGCACAGACAAGGAAAGGCUGGGGUGAGGCGGCCGAGGCACUCGUGGUUACCACGGAGAAAAGAGCUCGUCCUCAGCCUACCAGCCGCCCCCUGGUUCCUCAAAAACACGUUCAGGCUCGCCAGGUGUUACUUUCAUGGGAGCCUGGUAGUGACGGCCUGUCCCCCGUGCGUUACUAUACGGUCCAGCUAAGAGAGCUUCCUGAAAGCAACUGGACAGUCCACUCAGCAUCUGUCAGCCACGAGGCCACAACCUACAUAGUAUCCAGGCUGAAACCCUUCACAUCUUACCAGUUCAGAAUAAAAGCCACCAAUGACAUAGGGGACAGCGAGUACAGUCAGGAAAGUGAAGCAAUCACAACUCUACAGGAUGUGCCUGACGAAGCACCCUCGAUUCUCUCUGUCACGCCACACACAACAACGUCAGUGCUGAUCCGCUGGCAGGUAAGAACAAACAAAAUAACUUUAUAUAUAUAUUUUACUGUUUUCAAACUCCAUGAUCUAUUCGAGUGUGGGGAAGUGGCUUCUAAGAGACUAAGUAAACACAAGCGUUAUGAGAUACGCAUGAGUGUGUACAACGCCGUGGGUGAGGGGCCAACCAGCCCUCCACAGGAGGUGUUUGUUGGAGAAGCAGUGCCGACGGCCCCACCCCAGAAUGUGGCUAUUCAGUCCGCAACAGCCACCCAGCUGGAUGUGACGUGGGACCCUCCACCUGUGGAUGCGCAGAAUGGAGACAUCCAGGGAUACAAGAUUUACUUUUGGGAAUUCCAGCGUAAGAACGAGACUGAGCGGAUGCGGACUCUGUUUAUGCCUGAAGGAGGGGUGAAGCUGAAGAACUUGACUGGUUACACCACCUAUAUGAUCAGUGUGGCUCCAUUCAACGCUGCUGGGGACGGACCCCGAAGCCCACCAACGAGGGGACGCACUCAGCAAGCAGCUCCCAGUGCUCCCAGCUUCAUUCACUUCAGUGAACUGACCACCACCUCUGUCAAUGUGUCCUGGGGCGAGCCCACCUUCCCUAAUGGCAUCAUUGAGGGCUACCGUCUGGUCUAUGAACCCUCCACACCUGUAGAUGGCGUCAGUAAGACAGUGACGGUGGAUGUGAAGGGGACCGGCCCUCUCUGGUUGAAGAUCAGAGACCUGGCAGAUGGCGUCACGUACAACUUCCGCAUCCGGGCCAAGACCUUCAUCUACGGGCCUGAGGUGGAAGCAAAUAUCACCACGGGACCAGGGGAAGGUAGUGCCCCAGGGCCCCCUGGAGAGCCAUUUAUUACGCGCUACAGUUCGGGCCUCACCAUUCACUGGACCCCUGGAGACCCAGGACGUUCUCCCAUAACACGCUAUGUAAUUGAGGCCAGACCCUCAGAUGAGGGUUUGUGGGAUAUCUUAAUCAAGGACAUCUCCAAGGAUGCAACAUCGCACACAUUCAACAUGGACAUCCUGAAACAAGGUGUCAGUUAUGACUUUCGGGUCAUUGGAGUGAACGACUAUGGCUAUGGCUCUCCGAGUCUACCUUCUCCCUCCAUAUCUGCCCAAAAAGUGGCUCCUUUCUAUGAGGAAUGGUGGUUCCUGGUCGUGGUGGCUCUAGUGGGACUCAUCUUCAUUCUGCUGCUAGUUUUCAUCCUCAUUAUCAGAGGACAGAGCAAGAAGUAUGCAAAAAAGUCUGAAUCAGCUUGUGUUUCGCUUCCAGCCUGGUGGCAUGGAGGGUCUCCUCCCAGGCCCAGCCCAGGCAGUCUUCACUACUCGGACGAGGACGUCAGCACCAAGUACAACGACCUGAUCCCUGCAGAGAGCAGCAGCCUGACUGAAAAACCCUCGGAAAUCUCAGACUCACAGGGCAGCGACAGUGAGUAUGAGGUGGACCCUAACCGUCAGAAGACCCACUCCUUCGUCAACCACUACAUAAGUGACCCUACCUACUACAACUCCUGGCGGCGCCAACAGAAAGGCAUAUCCCGGGCGCAGGCCUACAGCUACACAGAGUCAGAGUCAGGAGAGCCGGAUCACUGCGCCCCACCACCGCUUCCCCCUCUACCUCCACUAGUUUUUAAAUGA